Molecule: ribosomal RNA, 450 nt
Filed under: uncultured Gammaproteobacteria bacterium
Lineage: Bacteria; Pseudomonadati; Pseudomonadota; Gammaproteobacteria
Description: bacterial SSU rRNA
Rfam family: Bacterial small subunit ribosomal RNA
Source: RNAcentral
AUUGAACGCUGGCGGCAUGCCUAACACAUGCAAGUCGAACGGAAACGAUGGGAGCUUGCUCCCAGGCGUCGAGUGGCGGACGGGUGAGUAAUGCUUAGGAAUCUACCCAGUAGCGGGGGACAACUCGAGGAAACUCGAGCUAAUACCGCAUACGCCCUACGGGGGAAAGCAGGGGAUCUUCGGACCUUGCACUAUUGGAUGAGCCUAAGUCAGAUUAGCUUGUUGGUGAGGUAAAGGCUCACCAAGGCGACGAUCCGUAGCUGGUCUGAGAGGACGAUCAGCCACACUGGGACUGAGACACGGCCCAGACUCCUACGGGAGGCAGCAGUGGGGAAUAUUGGACAAUGGGGGCAACCCUGAUCCAGCAAUGCCGCGUGUGUGAAGAAGGCCUGCGGGUUGUAAAGCACUUUCAGUAGAGAAGAAAAGCCUAGGGUUAAUACCCCUGAGUCU